Long non-coding RNA from Helianthus annuus (common sunflower), 711 nucleotides. RefSeq lists it as uncharacterized. The transcript has 3 exons. The record is from RefSeq and is a predicted model, not a curated record. Lineage: Eukaryota; Viridiplantae; Streptophyta; Magnoliopsida; Asterales; Asteraceae.
AGGCGUGUUGCUUGACUUCUUCUCCUGUUUGGGAAUGUCCAAGUUGCAUUUCAAGCCGGCUUACAAUCCGUACACUGAGCCGAGCAUGGAAAUAUUCGGGCUUAAAGAAAUGGGUUGAAGUAGGAAAUUCUGGAAUGUUCAGACCUGAAAUAUUACUUCCUAUGUGCAGCAGUAUUCAGUUUAUGUGGCAGCGUGUUUAUAUAGUCCUUCUUGCUAGCUGUUGGAUCAGGAAUUGCAUUUUGACAGGAUAUACAAGCGAUGUUCAUAGGGGGUCAAAGUUUGGGCUUCAGCUGUUCAGUAUUGUCACUCGGGUUACAUCCUUUUGGGUCUCCUGGUGCAAUGUCCAUCAUUUGAGUUGGGUUUUAUGUUGACUGGCUUCGGGUUUGUUACAUCCCAGGUUUGCUAUACCGGAUCAUCAGUUUUGGUUUGCAGUCCAAAAUCCUUAUCAUGAUAUAUGGGCCUCGGUUUUGGCACCUGUUUCGUACCUUCUAAUCACUGAUACAUCGGAUCCCAUUUCAACUUUAAUUGAUUUUGUGUAUCCUUCAAUUCUUGAAAACUUCAACAAUCAAAAUUAUUUCAGUGAGAGGGCUAUACUUGCAUCUGGAUAUAUUACAUUAUUUGUCUCAUUGUAGUUUACUAAUUUAUUAUUACUUGAACGGUUAUUUAAUUCAAACGAUUACUUCAAUAAAUUAAAGUUAUUCAUUUGUGUUU